UGGGGAAUAUUGCACAAUGAAGGGAACUCUGAUGCAGCGACGCCGCGUGAACGAAGAAGGCUUUCGAGUCGUAAAGUUCUUUUAUAUGGGAAGAUAAUGACGGUACCAUAAGAAAAAGCCCCGGCUAACUACGUGCCAGCAGCCGCGGUAAUACGUAGGGGGCUAGCGUUGUCCGGAAUCACUGGGCGUAAAGGGUUCGCAGGCGGAAAUGCAAGUCAGGUGUAAAAGGCAGUAGCUUAACUACUGUAAGCAUUUGAAACUGCAUAUCUUGAGAAGAGUAGAGGUAAGUGGAAUUUUUAGUGUAGCGGUGAAAUGCGUAGAUAUUAAAAAGAAUACCGGUGGCGAAGGCGGCUUACUGGGCUCAUUCUGACGCUGAGGAACGAAAGCGUGGGUAGCAAACAGG
This 403-nucleotide ribosomal RNA is filed under the name bacterium. Its description in RNAcentral is "partial 16S ribosomal RNA". It matches the Rfam family "Bacterial small subunit ribosomal RNA", at positions 355 to 776 of the family's 1533-position model. The record is from RNAcentral.